RNAcentral lists this ribosomal RNA (323 nucleotides) under uncultured Bacteroidota bacterium. RNAcentral describes it as "bacterial SSU rRNA". It matches the Rfam family "Bacterial small subunit ribosomal RNA", at positions 28 to 351 of the family's 1533-position model. Lineage: Bacteria; Pseudomonadati; Bacteroidota. The record is from RNAcentral.
GAUGAACGCUAGCGGCAGGCCUAACACAUGCAAGUCGAGGGGCAGUUCCGACUUCGGUUGGAAGCGACCGGCGAACGGGUGAGUAACGCGUUUGUAACCUACCUCUGACUGGGGGAUAGCUCCCGGAAACGGGAAUUAAUACUCCAUGAUAUUCAAUUUGGGCAUCCUUAUUGAAUUAAAGCUCCGGUGGUCAGAGAUGGGCAUGCGUGACAUUAGCUAGUUGGUGAGGUAACGGCUCACCAAGGCUACGAUAUCUAGGGGGUCUGAGAGGAUGAUCCCCCACACUGGUACUGAGACACGGACCAGACUCCUACGGGAGGCUG